AAUUAGUCUGGCUUGCCAGGCUAAAUGACCCCUAUGUCGGCCAAUAAUAUCGGCCAGGCCCUAAUGUGGAGGUAUGUACUUAAUCAAAAAAGGUGAAAAAUAGCUGAAAAUAUGUUUUCUAUUCUGUUUUCUUCAAAAUAGCAUGGAGUUGCAUGUUCUCUCCGGGUACUUCGGUUUCCCCACAGAUCACAACAUGCCCUAUAGGUUAACAAUUGCAUGCCGAUUUGGAUAAAAGCGUCUGCCAAAUAAAUAAACGUAAACAGUGGCCAGAAUCCAGUGUGGGCCACCACAGAGAAAGGCUGAUCUAACAUGAUGACUUAAAUUAUUUUACAGGUUAUUUGCUCAGCCUCCUGACGGUCAUGCUCACACAGACACGAGUGUGGGUGAGUGGCUGCAUUUGGCUGUUGAUGCUCCGUGUGUGUUUUUAUUUCUGUAGUAAGACAAACUCACCUCACACCACCGAGUUUGUUCUUCAAAACUCGUGGUAAAUCCAACGUGUUGACACGUUAAAAUGAGCUUCCUUCUUGCCGUAUUUUUGCUGCAGGAUGCUGAAUUAACAUCACGGAGUGAAAGUUCUGCAGAUGUGUUGGUUUAUAUUUUUGCCGCUGUGCGCUUGUGCAGUGUGAGAGAAGAGUCUCUGCCGGCUUCAGAGUAGGAGCGACAGACAGCUGGUGUGAUCAGCUCUGAAAGGUGUUGACCAGAACUAGGGCUGUCACGGUGUGAAAAUGUAACCUCACGGUUAUUGUGACCAAAAUUACCACGGUUUUCGGUAUUAUCGCGGUAUUUUUUUAAACAUGAUACAUUUUCAGACAACUAAAUAAACCCUGUAUGUCAGGAAAAUAUUGUCCUCAGUUUGUGUCUAAAUUUUGCCUAAAAUGUGUUAUUUUGUAAUUAUGUUGUUUAUUUGUUUACAUUUUCCCCUUUAGUCUUUAAAAUACCAAUAUUUGCCCAUAACUUCUCAUUUUAUGUCUGUUUGAUGUCAUCGUUUUAAAAAUAUUAGAUCAGAUGAUACUCAGUACUCAAGUAGCCUUCUAAUCAGAUACUUUUUUACCCUUACUUGAGUAAUAAACCCUAUAUCAGGAAAAUAUCGUCCUCGGUUUGUGUCCUUCCAGUGAGCUUUGCAGAUGUGGGAAAAUGUCAUCAGGCAGUAAUCGUUGUUAAAUUCAUAAUUAUUCUCAGAGAGAGACCAACUCUUAUCUUGUCUGCGUUCCCCUUCUUCUGUUAUGUUUUCUCCGUGGUCAAGUGCUCUGAUUACUGACAUUUUAUUUAUGGUAACUUCGGUUUUCUUUAAAUAUCUCCAUUUUUAUUCCUUUUAUGAGGAUUUUUGUGUUUUGUUGUUUGGAGAAUGAACCAUAACACAACAUAAAAUCUACUUGACCAAUUUAUGUUUUUAAAUAAGUUUUGAGUUUUAAAUUUUCUUCCAUAAUUUUUAGAAGUAUAUGUUCUGCUGACAUUAAUUUCUUUUAAAAAUCAUAUUGACAAAAAUAAAUAGAAGAAAAGAAAAUGAUGUGAUAUAGAUUUUGGGCCAUAUGGCUCAUUCCUACCCAAAUGAAUAAUAAACCAGAUUUAAGGCUUCAUCGGGCCGUGAUGUCCAGCUUUUGCUGGAGCAAUUUGCAGCCGAGUGUGAAGCAGCUGGGAUGAAAAUAGGAAUGCCCAGUUCCGACAUAAAUAUUGGAAGUAGUUCGAUAUCGGCUGAAAAACACUGUAUUGGAUUAUAUCGUACUGCAUGAAAAAUCUCAGAUAUAAGCAGUAUAUUCCGCUUUAAAUUUCAUUCCAGCAAUUCUAUCCAGCAGCUCCCAGAUCCAGCAUGCAAUUCCUACGUGAUCAGAACAGUGUGUGCGAGGCAAAGUAGCAGGGAGCAAUGUCAGCCGUGUGGUAGUAAUUUUUGUUAGUCCAUAAAAGACAGUGUGGCUCAGUACAACACUUGCCAUGCACAAGCUUCCCGUGGUGGAACAGCACCAGGAAUGUUUUAUAUGUCCAACCUCAUCGUACAUUUGAAGCAGCAUCACAAAACACAGCAUGAGGAUUUGCAGUGUGUGAAAUUGAAUCUUGGGACACUCAACUUGUAGCAGUUGGUAAAUGGACAAUAUUGUCCCUGCCCUCUGCAGUUCCUACCGUUUGCUGACAGUAAAACAUAACUGAAAUGACCUUGAAUUAGUAUUUAGUACUUUGAAAAGAUAUAUUUUGUUUAUUUUUUAUUACUUAUAUUUAUUUAUUUACUUAAAAUAUUUUCAGAGUAUUUUCAUUUAUUUUUAUUAUUUUUUUCUCAUUAUGUUACAUUGUUACUCAUUACAUACAUUAUGUUUAAGGUUGACAUUUAUGCAACCAAUGGUUAAAAAAUUGUCUUUUUUUCAUACUGUUGCUGGCGUUUGUUCUCCAGUUGAGUCAUAUCACUUGGUCAAGCCUUUCAUACAUUCCACUAGGGCUGCCUCAAACAACUAUUUUAAUAGUCGACUAAUCGCCAGUUUUGUUGACGAUUAAUCGACUAAUCGUGUCAUUCAUAAAAGUAUAGUUUAUUGCACCAGGAUGCUCUAAUAUACCCAUCCUUAGCUUCUAGUUUGAAGUGUGAUCAGCUCUGUGGCUUCUAAUAAUAAAGAGAAGAUGAUAGCUUAUCAAACAACUUUUAAUUAACUUUGUUACCUGUUUGCUACGGUCAGAUGGAGGUAGGCACCUACAACCAAAAAAAAUAAACAGUACUCAAAAAUGACUUGUGUUCACACAAGGCAUGGUGGCAAGGUCGAAGAGCUUCAUUUUCCAAUCUUAAAUCAUGAAAUGGCAGAACACCCCAUGCUGGUCCACGCAUCAGCAGUCAGGGGGUCAUUGACAGCUCUGAGGGUCUACUUUAUCAUAAAGAUAAAAGAUAUUAAAAAAGAUAUGGCCUCGGUCAAGACGUUAGCUUGCUGAGGUGUGCACGUAACAAACUCAUCCAUUGAAGAGGAGCACUUUUAUUAACACUGUAACGUAGCGGGAUGAAAUAAAUCAUUAGCGUUUGUAAUUACAGCAAAAAUAUGUGACAUACAAACGUGUGCUAAAGGUAAUACCGCUACGAGUGUUGCUACAUCUAUGAAUAUGUGUUCUGUUGAUGUUACCAAGAGGUAAACUUACCAUGGCAACUCAUUCUUCACCGCCGUGACGUGCUUCCUCUUUAGGUGCUUGUACAUCGCCGUUGUGCUCCCAUGAAAGGAGAGUUUCACUUUGCAGACUUUGCAGUCUACGUGCCUUUCCUUGACCUUUUAUAAUGUUCCCAGACUUUUGAGCUACGUUGCAGACUCACCAUGUUUUCUUUCUCUAGUGAGGCUAAUCUGGAUGACUACUACCACGCAUGCGCCUCGGAGCUAAAGCAAGCGGCAGCUGAGCAGAGAGGCAGGAAGAAACCGCCAACGUGCUGCAGCAGGCAAACUGUUAGCUAAACACGACUAAAGAAAACCUGCUACCACUUCAGGAUCAUCCAUCAGCUGGGACUGAUUCAUCGUUUGCUCUGGACGACAUGGACACAGUGAACACAAUGAGCCCCACGUCGAAGCACUGAGCCUAGCGGAGCAUGGAAAUGAAGCUGCAUAGCAAACUGAACCAAGACCAGCAACAGAUCAGUUUGUUCCCGGCGACCCAGGGGCCAGAGAAGUCGGUACGGACAGACUGCUGAUGGAGUUGACUUCUGUGGUAUUUGAACCACGUAGUUCCACCUCGAAUAUAGAACCGCUGGUCUGGGAUACCCUCAGGGUGAAUGCUGGCGGUCAGGUAAAGUUUUGCAUCUGAUGCAGCUUUGCAGUUUUGCAAAGAAGGUUUGACCUUGAAGGAUGGUUCCUUAUGCUUUACUGACCCAGUCGGCCGAACUGGACAGUUCUCUAGAACUGACCUUAGAGGAAGUGUCAACUCUUUUUAUUAACUUUUGUUGAUCAAUUUGGAAAAAUCAACAGCUUACAAGUUUAAAUUGGGAGGUGAAGACCUCAGGCACCACCCCUUUCUCAAUCACUUGGAGGUUAUCUCCCUUAAAGGCAGGGUACGUAAGUUUUAAAUGUGAAAUAACUUUAAAAAUGUUUAAUUUUGACCAUCUGACCCAGUUUUAUUAAAAAAGUAAAUAAUCUUUAAUAUUUAAAUUUUCUCCUAAGUCCCUCCCCUGCCCUGUAGAGCUCAGCCAAUAUUUCUGCAAGCCUAACGCAUUGACCAAUAGCGCUGCAUUACCACCAGGGGUACCUGUCAGUCAUCGAGAACGAGCAUUAGAUCUCAGCGUGCAAAACAGUGUCACGCGCCUCACUCGGCUUAGAGGACAGCUCUGGAGCGACAAAACCCCAAAUUACCGAUUUCUCGACUGCCUUCCACAUCUCAAAAAACAUUAAAAAAGUUUAAAAGCCCUUCUUCAAAAGUGGCUGUAAGACGUUUAAGACAGUCGAGUCGAAUUUAAAUUGCAGAUUGUUUUACAUGAUGAUUUUCGUGAUCUACGCGGCAUGAAAACUGAUGAAGAGUUGGCAAAAGUAUCUUUUGGACAGGUAAGUUAUUUAUUGUUUUUCAGAUAAAUUUACUUACAAUAUUUCUUUCACUGAAACAAGUAAUAGAGCAAACAAGCUUUGUAUGCUUGGUGUCCUAUUGGCUAAUGUAGCAUUAGCUUGAAUGCUAAGUCGACAUGAAUCGAUGUUAGUCGUUGAACUAUUUAUGCUAUAUUUGGAAGAAGUUUGAGUAACGAAAGGGGAUUUUAGUUUUUUGUUUAUAUGGGAGCUAAUGAUUAGUGUGGCGUUUAACUACAGGCCACAUCAGUAUAUUGUUUUAAGCUCUUGUUUAUAACUUCCCCGUUAGCGGGGUUCAGUUAGCAUCUUGAACGCUGUAUUAGAUGUUUACACUUUCCUGAGCUGCGUGUUUGAUUAAAAUGAGUAAUCAGCAGCUCAUGUAGCACUUGUAGAAGUCUGAGGAGAUGAUUCAGCAGUUAGAAUUAGGUGUGAUUGAUCAGGAACGUAUCCAAAACCUUACGUUUCCAUUAGCACUGAAAGACAUAUUGUGCUAACCUGGGUGGGCCACGUGUACAGAUUACCGUCUGAGUUUGUGGUCUUACCUACGUGAUUACUCCAUAUUAGAAUAAAAGGAAUGAUAAUCAGCUCGUGCAGAAAUCUGUGAAGGCUGGGGAGAAACAUUAGUUGUUGGAAAAAGACGUAUCUGACCACAAACCUAUCCAAACACGGUCACACUGGCUGUCAGUUAGCCUGAUAUCACACUAUUUAGCCUGCUGCAGUCAUAGCAAUAAUCGAGUUCCAAAUUCAAGUAUUUUAUUAGGUCUCCCUGUUUUGAAAAAGCAAAUCAUAUUAAAAUGAGUGAUUAGCAGCUCAUGUUGACCUCAGUUGGCUGAGGAGAUACUUUAUCAAUUACAAUCAGAUUUGUCUUAGCAGGAAAAUGUAAAAAUAAAAUGUGAUUUGCAUGCUCUUCAUGCUACAGUCAAUUAUUUAGUAGUUUCUCUGACCUUCAUUUCAUUAUAUCUUACACUAACAUAGAUGUGUAAACUAAGAGAUGGCUAUAUAACAUAAUAUUGUGUUUCUUUUACUUGUUUAGCCUGUGAUCACUACUUUUUAUUUUAAUAUGGGCUUUGUUUUUACAGUCAUCAGUCCAAAUAUGAAGCAUCAGCAUCAACACCAUUGAAACGCCAACUGUGUAUUUCUCCAACACCAGUGCCAGCUCUGUCUAGCAUUCAUGGAGAAUCAUCUGAAAGCACCUCUCAAGGUGAAAUUCUUGAGGCGCUUCACAAAAACAAUGGUCACCAAACCGAGAACCAGAAGUUGAUUCGUCUUCAGAGGAGGACGAAACCAUCGAGAUGGACAGCGGUACUGAUGACAGCGGUGAUGAGGACUACACACCUUACAUAAACAUAAGAUACCAUAAAAUAUUCAACAAAAAAUCUAGAUGCUGGAGACUGUAUUCUGAGAAGGUGGCAAAAGACUUCUCCUACAUCCCAGAGAUCCAAACCAUGAUCGUCAACCAACGUUUGACAAGCAAGAAAGGUCUUCCUCGACGCUACAAGCUAAGGCCUGAGGAUCCAAGGCGUUAUGGUUUGCUGUCCGGAGUUCCUGCGCCAUCAACAGAGGAACGUCUACAACACCUACGGACUCGCGGUGAUGGUAAAACUUUGCCAAAGAUAUUGGUGUUGGGGGAGGCAAGAGAAAACCCAAAACCUUCUUUAUUUUUGUCUUUCCUUUUUUUUUUUGUAAAUAAAGAUAUUUUUUGGGGAAAUAAGGACUAAUCAUUUUAAAAUGUAUGUAAAAUGCUGGAGGUAGACAUAAGUUUUUGUUGUUGUGCAGGAGUUUAACAUUUAUGGUAUUUUUACAAAUGCAACACAGAGUUAUGCUUUAGGUUUUGUCUCAGAUAUUUCUGUCUUACAGUUCUAAGAGUUUUCACCAAUUUUUGCCAUUUUUUUAUUAUCUUACAUUAAUUUUGUCAAAAACAGGACAAAUCAUCACGCUACACCAUCAAUGGUUAGGGUAUGGGUUAGGCAUAUUUCAGACACUGCAAUGAAUGCAAGUCAAUGACGGGUCCCUACAAGUAUAGCUGUGUGUGUGUGUGUGUGUGUGUGUGUGUGUGUGUGUGUGUGUGUGUGUGUGUGUGUGUGUGUGUGUGUGUGUGUGUGUGUGUGUGUGUGUGUGUGUGUGUGUGUGUGUGUU
Molecule: non-coding RNA, 6638 nt
Organism: Nothobranchius furzeri (turquoise killifish)
Lineage: Eukaryota; Metazoa; Chordata; Actinopteri; Cyprinodontiformes; Nothobranchiidae
Source: RefSeq, a predicted model, not a curated record